AAGGCCGGAGAUUUCACUUUUGUGCUUGGAGCUGGCGCUGGAACCGCUGCUGGUGGAGAGGCGAGAGGAGCCGGUGGAGGAGUUGCGGGAGGAGGAGUUGCAGGUGGAGGAGUGGCCGGUGGGGGAGUGGCCGGUGGUGGAGUAGCCGGUGGAGGAGUGGCGGGCGGAGGGGUGGCCGGUGGAGGUGUUGCUGGUGGAGGGGUUGCUGGUGGAGGAGUGGCUGGUGGAGGAGUGGCCGGUGGUGGAGUGGCUGGGGGUGGAGUGGCCGGUGGUGGAGUGGCAGGCGGAGGAGUAGCCGGUGGCGGGGCUGAUACCGGAGGAGGAGACGAGGCGGGAGGAGAUGUAACAGCAGUUGGUGGUGACGCGGCGGGAGUUGUGGGGGUAGGAGGAGCUGGAGUGGCGGUGGGCCCUCCAGCGGGAGCCUGACCUCCAACGCCGGCGAAGACAAUGCAGACCAAUCCAAG
Molecule: long non-coding RNA, 464 nt
Filed under: Vitis vinifera (wine grape)
Lineage: Eukaryota; Viridiplantae; Streptophyta; Magnoliopsida; Vitales; Vitaceae
Description: long non-coding RNA (VVIN_LNC000721)
Source: RNAcentral